RNAcentral lists this ribosomal RNA (666 nucleotides) under Pediococcus pentosaceus. RNAcentral describes it as "bacterial SSU rRNA". It matches the Rfam family "Bacterial small subunit ribosomal RNA", at positions 59 to 682 of the family's 1533-position model. Lineage: Bacteria; Bacillati; Bacillota; Bacilli; Lactobacillales; Lactobacillaceae. The record is from RNAcentral.
CAGUCGACGACUUCCGUUAAUUGAUUAUGACGUACUUGUACUGAUUGAGAUUUUAACACGAAGUGAGUGGCGAACGGGUGAGUAACACGUGGGUAACCUGCCCAGAAGUAGGGGAUAACACCUGGAAACAGAUGCUAAUACCGUAUAACAGAGAAAACCGCAUGGUUUUCUUUUAAAAGAUGGCUCUGCUAUCACUUCUGGAUGGACCCGCGGCGUAUUAGCUAGUUGGUGAGGUAAAGGCUCACCAAGGCAGUGAUACGUAGCCGACCUGAGAGGGUAAUCGGCCACAUUGGGACUGAGACACGGCCCAGACUCCUACGGGAGGCAGCAGUAGGGAAUCUUCCACAAUGGACGCAAGUCUGAUGGAGCAACGCCGCGUGAGUGAAGAAGGGUUUCGGCUCGUAAAGCUCUGUUGUUAAAGAAGAACGUGGGUAAGAGUAACUGUUUACCCAGUGACGGUAUUUAACCAGAAAGCCACGGCUAACUACGUGCCAGCAGCCGCGGUAAUACGUAGGUGGCAAGCGUUAUCCGGAUUUAUUGGGCGUAAAGCGAGCGCAGGCGGUCUUUUAAGUCUAAUGUGAAAGCCUUCGGCUCAACCGAAGAAGUGCAUUGGAAACUGGGAGACUUGAGUGCAGAAGAGGACAGUGGAACUCCAUGUGUAGCGGU